Molecule: ribosomal RNA, 772 nt
Filed under: uncultured Bacteroidota bacterium
Lineage: Bacteria; Pseudomonadati; Bacteroidota
Description: bacterial SSU rRNA
Rfam family: Bacterial small subunit ribosomal RNA
Source: RNAcentral
UAAAGGGUCCGUAGGCGGGCCCGUAAGUCAGUGGUGAAAUCUCGCAGCUUAACUGUGAAACUGCCAUUGAUACUGCGGGUCUUGAGUAAAUUUGAAGUGGCUGGAAUAAGUAGUGUAGCGGUGAAAUGCAUAGAUAUUACUUAGAACACCAAUUGCGAAGGCAGGUCACUAAGAUUUAACUGACGCUGAUGGACGAAAGCGUGGGGAGCGAACAGGAUUAGAUACCCUGGUAGUCCACGCCGUAAACGAUGCUAACUCGUUUUUGGAUUUUCGGAUUCAGAGACCAAGCGAAAGUGAUAAGUUAGCCACCUGGGGAGUACGAUCGCAAGAUUGAAACUCAAAGGAAUUGACGGGGGCCCGCACAAGCGGUGGAUUAUGUGGUUUAAUUCGAUGAUACGCGAGGAACCUUACCAAGACUUAAAUGGGAAUUGACAGAUCUGGAAACAGAUUCUCCUUCGGGCAAUUUUCAAGGUGCUGCAUGGUUGUCGUCAGCUCGUGCCGUGAGGUGUUAGGUUAAGUCCUGCAACGAGCGCAACCCCUGUCACUAGUUGCUAACAUUCAGUUGAGGACUCUAGUGAGACUGCCUACGCAAGUAGAGAGGAAGGUGGGGAUGACGUCAAAUCAUCACGGCCCUUACGUCUUGGGCCACACACGUAAUACAAUGGCCGGUACAGAGGGCAGCUACACAGCGAUGUGAUGCAAAUCUCGAAAGCCGGUCUCAGUUCGGAUUGGAGUCUGCAACUCGACUCUAUGAGGCUGGAAUCGCUAGUAA